GACGAACGCUGGCGGCGUGCCUAAUACAUGCAAGUAGAACGCUGAAGAGAGGAGCUUGCUCUUCUUGGAUGAGUUGCGAACGGGUGAGUAACGCGUAGGUAACCUGCCUUGUAGCGGGGGAUAACUAUUGGAAACGAUAGCUAAUACCGCAUAACAAUGGAUGACACAUGUCAUUUAUUUGAAAGGGGCAAUUGCUCCACUACAAGAUGGACCUGCGUUGUAUUAGCUAGUAGGUGAGGUAAUGGCUCACUUAGGCGACGAUACAUAGCCGACCUGAGAGGGUGAUCGGCCACACUGGGACUGAGACACGGCCCAGACUCCUACGGGAGGCAGCAGUAGGGAAUCUUCGGCAAUGGGGGCAACCCUGACCGAGCAACGCCGCGUGAGUGAAGAAGGUUUUCGGAUCGUAAAGCUCUGUUGUAAGUCAAGAACGGGUGUGAGAGUGGAAAGUUCACACUGUGACGGUAGCUUACCAGAAAGGGACGGCUAACUACGUGCCAGCAGCCGCGGUAAUACGUAGGUCCCGAGCGUUGUCCGGAUUUAUUGGGCGUAAAGCGAGCGCAGGCGGUUUGAUAAGUCUGAAGUUAAAGGCUGUGGCUCAACCAUAGUUCGCUUUGGAAACUGUCAAACUUGAGUGCAGAAGGGGAGAGUGGAAUUCCAUGUGUAGCGGUGAAAUGCGUAGAUAUAUGGAGGAACACCGGUGGCGAAAGCGGCUCUCUGGUCUGUAACUGACGCUGAGGCUCGAAAGCGUGGGGAGCGAACAGGAUUAGAUACCCUGGUAGUCCACGCCGUAAACGAUGAGUGCUAGGUGUUGGAUCCUUUCCGGGAUUCAGUGCCGCAGCUAACGCAUUAAGCACUCCGCCUGGGGAGUACGACCGCAAGGUUGAAACUCAAAGGAAUUGACGGGGGCCCGCACAAGCGGUGGAGCAUGUGGUUUAAUUCGAAGCAACGCGAAGAACCUUACCAGGUCUUGACAUCCCGAUGCUAUUUCUAGAGAUAGAAAGUUACUUCGGUACAUCGGUGACAGGUGGUGCAUGGUUGUCGUCAGCUCGUGUCGUGAGAUGUUGGGUUAAGUCCCGCAACGAGCGCAACCCCUAUUGUUAGUUGCCAUCAUUCAGUUGGGCACUCUAGCGAGACUGCCGGUAAUAAACCGGAGGAAGGUGGGGAUGACGUCAAAUCAUCAUGCCCCUUAUGACCUGGGCUACACACGUGCUACAAUGGUUGGUACAACGAGUUGCGAGUCGGUGACGGCGAGCUAAUCUCUUAAAGCCAAUCUCAGUUCGGAUUGUAGGCUGCAACUCGCCUACAUGAAGUCGGAAUCGCUAGUAAUCGCGGAUCAGCACGCCGCGGUGAAUACGUUCCCGGGCCU
Molecule: ribosomal RNA, 1369 nt
Filed under: uncultured bacterium
Lineage: Bacteria
Description: bacterial SSU rRNA
Rfam family: Bacterial small subunit ribosomal RNA
Source: RNAcentral